AAUAAUAAAGUAAAAAAGCCUGAUAUAAUCCGGUAAUAUGGUCCGGAGUUUCUACAAAAAGCCGUAAACUUUUUACUAUUGGGUGAGGGUAACAAAUG
RNAcentral lists this non-coding RNA (98 nucleotides) under Acetoanaerobium sticklandii. RNAcentral's name for it is "Clostridium sticklandii Guanine sequence". It matches the Rfam family "Purine riboswitch aptamer". From Rfam's summary of the family: Riboswitches are metabolite binding domains within certain messenger RNAs that serve as precision sensors for their corresponding targets. Allosteric rearrangement of mRNA structure is mediated by ligand binding, and this results in modulation of gene expression. A class of riboswitches that selectively recognises guanine and becomes saturated at concentrations as low as 5 nM. RNAcentral also lists the same sequence under 1 other name. The record is from RNAcentral. Lineage: Bacteria; Bacillati; Bacillota; Clostridia; Peptostreptococcales; Filifactoraceae.